RNAcentral lists this ribosomal RNA (253 nucleotides) under uncultured bacterium. RNAcentral's name for it is "partial 16S ribosomal RNA". It matches the Rfam family "Bacterial small subunit ribosomal RNA", at positions 524 to 776 of the family's 1533-position model. The record is from RNAcentral.
UACGAAGGGGGCUAGCGUUGUUCGGAAUUACUGGGCGUAAAGCGUAUGCAGGCGGAUCUUUAAGUCAGGGGUGAAAUCCCGAGGCUCAACCUCGGAACUGCCUCUGAUACUGGGGAUCUUGAGUCCGGGAGAGGUUAGUGGAACUGCGAGUGUAGAGGUGAAAUUCGUAGAUAUUCGCAAGAACACCAGUGGCGAAGGCGGCUAACUGGCCCGGUACUGACGCUGAGAUACGAAAGCCAGGGGAGCAAACGGG